GAAAAAUUAAUUUGAGAUUUUUAGGCAUUUUUGUACCUGAAUUUUCAUUUGCCGUACCGGGAAUUUUUUUUUUUUUUUUCUUAGGAUCCAAAAAAUCUGAUAACACUUCGGUCGAAAAUAGCCGGGCGUCCUUUAAAAUCUGGACCAAACGAAAAAUUGAGCAUUGGCGACGUUAGGAGAAUCCGGGACCUAUAUCGCUGUGACGGAGCAGUUCAAAAACCAAGCUUCCCUGAGGAUGUUGUCUGUACCUUUGAAGAGCAUGACUGCGGCUUCAAAGGGUUGCGUAAUCUGGAUUCGGAAGAACCUUUUCCAAAUCGUAAUCGGCGUCUCAAUUGGGACUGGAAAAGCAGAUCAGACUCAUUGCAUCGCGAAGAAAGGAACCUUGAAGGAUACCUCUUUUGGCGGUUUAAUAAUGCUUUUAAUCUUACUACCACCCAAGACCACGCUUGGAGCGUAGGCUUUUACGGGCAGAGCCCUAUCGACAAAACUCGCGGCCCAAAGGGCUGUAUCUAUUUUAAGUAUUCGUUCCAGGCUCAGGGAAAAGGACUCAACACACUCAAUCUGUUGCAAGUGGAGCUACGGUCACCUCUGGACUCCAGGUAUUUCGAUUUCAGUCCGAAAUCGUCGACUGUAAUUUGGUCGGAAACUGCCGAACGUCCGUCUAGAUUCAGUUCGGGGAGGACGCAAUGGAAGCAAGCUCACUUUUCUUUGAACGUUGAGAGUCCAUUUUUGCUUGAUUUUGUUUCUACACUGGAGAACGGAAUUGGCAAGUUUAAGGUUAAAAUUGACGACUUGGUAGUUCAAUACACACCCUGCCCAAUCAAGCUCUAUAACUGGCGCCGUUUAGGGUUUAAAUCGGAUGAACCAAUUCCGCUCCAUACGGAGAGUCCAAAUCGGCACCAGAAGAAAGUCCAAAAGAAGUUUUCAUGGAGACGACUAAUGUCAAAGUCCUUUAAGAGUGUAAGAUCUCACUUAGCGUCCAUUUCCAAAGCGAGAUCAUCCUCAGCCUCCAUUCCCAGAUCGACAUCGUCUUCAUCGUUCAUUUCCAGAUCGAGAUCGUCCGUAGGGUCGAAAUCAAAAUCGCCAUGAAAGAUCAACAUCUGAACCUUUUGGCUCAAAGAGGGUGUCACCGUCAAAUUUACAGAAAUCAGCCGCGUUUUCUGAUCGAGAAAUCCGGAGGAGGCAGAAUCUGACAGCGCUAUAGGCAAAUCAGCUACACAUCUAUCAAUACCGAGAAGAUGUGACCUACGAAUUGAAUUAAGAAAAUUAAUAAUCCGAUUCAAUUUUACGUUAAACUUGAAUGUCUAUGCCUUAACUCCCAG
RNAcentral lists this long non-coding RNA (1322 nucleotides) under Bemisia tabaci. Its description in RNAcentral is "lncRNA ENSSSA1UGG002855". The record is from RNAcentral. Lineage: Eukaryota; Metazoa; Arthropoda; Insecta; Hemiptera; Aleyrodidae.